Molecule: long non-coding RNA, 1609 nt
Organism: Brienomyrus brachyistius
Lineage: Eukaryota; Metazoa; Chordata; Actinopteri; Osteoglossiformes; Mormyridae
Exons: 4
Source: RefSeq, a predicted model, not a curated record
CUACCAUAUAGUGACUAGAAAGCCGGAAGUUUCCUGUUACAUCGGUGCUUCGGUUUUUGCGAAACACCUGAAUUUGGCAUAGAGGAUGAGGCGGCCGCGCGCGCCGGAGCUGCAGGUGAGCGCGCUCCCUCAGCCUGUUACUCAGCAGGCGGCAGUUCAGCCACCGCCGACUAGAGCCCAGGACAACAAAAAACGCACUGAAACCAAGGCCAUCGUCUCUUUGCUUGCAGGUCGCCAAGUGAGUGUCUGCCCGCCAGGGGCACAUUUCCCAACCAUGUACGUUGCAGUUGUGCUUUUGGGACACACAGCCCAGAGCCGGAGUACAGAGUAAACCAUUUUAAUUAACGGAAGGGUGAGCAACGACAAGACUAGGGCAUACAUGUUACUUAAGGAGGUUGCAUAGCAGCAGAUGCAAACAUCCAAACACAGGUGAAAAUGCAGCAGUGCUCGAAAUGGACUGUUUAAAUUUAACCAGGCCCCAGGGAGAGGAGUUGAGCCAAACUAUAUGUCACUGGCACAGGUGAAAAAUGCAAGUUCUCGACUCCACAGAGCGCCCCCCCCCCCAGCACCAAUUCCUUUUUCGGAGGUGAUAAACUGUAAGCUGCAUGAAGCCAAGACUCCCUGAAAGCAACACCCAGCACUGACCUGACACCUCAAAGUCACAGCGAUCAAACCAUGGAGAAGGAACAUAAAUCUAACCUCUGCUGCCCAAGCUAAUCGGGGGGUGAGGAGACAGAGAGAGCGAGAGAAGCGAAGAAACAGAGCAAAGUGAGAGAAUGAGAGAAAAAGUAGCGAGAUGAAACGGAGAAAUAAAGGCAAGGGAUACAGAAACAAAGAAGUACAGAGGUAGAACAAGAGAAAAAGAUUUGAGUGAAAGAAAAAAGGCAAGAUAGCAAAUGGAACGGGAAAUGCAUGUUAUUCAUUUUAUUAAAAAUAUAAUAGGUAUCAAGCUGACAGAUGGAAGCAAUGUGAGGUGAAAAGAGAACAAGGCAGAGGGAGUGGACAGGAAGUGAAUGGGUGUUCGAGGUUAGCCUGCGUCCUACAUAACUUUAAGUGCUCCGAGUCUAUUACAGAGUCUCUGAAGGAAGAACAUCGGAAGGGAAACAUACAAUCCUACAAGGUUUCUAACAAGGACGUCGACAGCCCUGCUGUCCGGAGCACUAGGGCGACAGUGGUAAAUGAGCGCUCACCGCCGCGAGGAAGCCCUACUCUAAGAGUACGACAGAGAAUGGGGCCAGGCAUCCCGAGCUGGCAUACUUACGGCAAACUGGGGGUGGGGCGAGAUGUCACCCAGGAGGGGAUGCUGCUGUGGGCAAGACAAACUCUGAGAGGAAAAAAUCUGUUUGGCUUUUACUGCAGGUUGAGAUCCCGUAAGCUCUGAUUAUCUCCAUUAAUUGCUAUUUGGGACUGAUUAAAAAAUUUUAGAAAGCGUUUUCUGUUCAGUUUUUAAAAAUUGGAUAGAUCUGUGAGGUGGGCAGUUGAUUGAUCAAUAUGCAUACAGCAGAACAUUUAAAAUUUUCUGGCAGAGUCAACUAAAACUGAAAAAUCAGAUUUAUUAUUUAUGUGUGAAAUGAACAAUUUUCCUUGAAUAAAUUAUUUUUUAUCAAAA